RNAcentral lists this ribosomal RNA (429 nucleotides) under Bacteroidota bacterium. RNAcentral's name for it is "Bacteroidetes bacterium partial 16S ribosomal RNA". It matches the Rfam family "Bacterial small subunit ribosomal RNA", at positions 355 to 776 of the family's 1533-position model. The record is from RNAcentral. Lineage: Bacteria; Pseudomonadati; Bacteroidota.
UAGGGAAUCUUCCGCAAUGGACGCAAGUCUGACGGAGCAACGCCGCGUGAGUGAAGAAGGAUUUCGGUUCGUAAAACUCUGUUGUUAGAGAAGAACAGCGCAUAGAGUAACUGUUAUGCGUGUGACGGUAUCUAACCAGAAAGCCACGGCUAACUACGUGCCAGCAGCCGCGGUAAUACGUAGGUGGCAAGCGUUGUCCGGAUUUAUUGGGCGUAAAGCGAGCGCAGGCGGUCAAUUAAGUCUGAUGUGAAAGCCCCCGGCUCAACCGGGGAGGGUCAUUGGAAACUGGUUGACUUGAGUGCAGAAGAGGAGAGUGGAAUUCCAUGUGUAGCGGUGAAAUGCGUAGACAUAUGGAGGAACACCAGUGGCGAAGGCGACUCUCUGGUCUGUAACUGACGCUGAGGUUCGAAAGCGUGGGUAGCAAACAGG